This 778-nucleotide ribosomal RNA is filed under the name Aeromonas veronii. RNAcentral describes it as "partial 23S ribosomal RNA". It matches the Rfam family "Bacterial large subunit ribosomal RNA", at positions 2175 to 2925 of the family's 2925-position model. The record is from RNAcentral. Lineage: Bacteria; Pseudomonadati; Pseudomonadota; Gammaproteobacteria; Aeromonadales; Aeromonadaceae.
UUGCGCUGGAGCCGUCCUUGAAAUACCACCCUUGUAUGUUUGAUGUUCUAACGCAGGGCCCUGAAUCGGGCUCGCGGACAGUGCCUGGUGGGUAGUUUGACUGGGGCGGUCUCCUCCCAAAGAGUAACGGAGGAGCACGAAGGUUGGCUAAUCCUGGUCGGACAUCAGGAGGUUAGUGCAAUGGCAUAAGCCAGCUUAACUGCGAGACGGACAGGUCGAGCAGGUACGAAAGUAGGUCAUAGUGAUCCGGUGGUUCUGAAUGGAAGGGCCAUCGCUCAACGGAUAAAAGGUACUCCGGGGAUAACAGGCUGAUACCGCCCAAGAGUUCAUAUCGACGGCGGUGUUUGGCACCUCGAUGUCGGCUCAUCACAUCCUGGGGCUGAAGUCGGUCCCAAGGGUAUGGCUGUUCGCCAUUUAAAGUGGUACGCGAGCUGGGUUCAGAACGUCGUGAGACAGUUCGGUCCCUAUCUGCCGUGGGCGUUGGAUGAUUGAAGGGAGUUGCUCCUAGUACGAGAGGACCGGAGUGAACGAACCUCUGGUGUUCGGGUUGUCACGCCAGUGGCACUGCCCGGUAGCUAAGUUCGGAAUCGAUAACCGCUGAAAGCAUCUAAGCGGGAAGCGAGCCCUGAGAUGAGUCAUCCCUGACCCCUUGAGGGUCCUAAAGGGCCGUUGGAGACCACAACGUUGAUAGGCGGGGUGUGUAAGUGCAGCGAUGCAUUGAGCUAACCCGUACUAAUUACCCGUGAGGCUUAACCAUACAACACCCAAGAAGUGUUCU